GAUGAGUAGGGCGGGACACGUGGUAUCCUGUCUGAAUAUGGGGGGACCAUCCUCCAAGGCUAAAUACUCCUGACUGACCGAUAGUGAACCAGUACCGUGAGGGAAAGGCGAAAAGAACCCCGGCGAGGGGAGUGAAAAAGAACCUGAAACCGUGUACGUACAAGCAGUGGGAGCACGCUUAGGCGUGUGACUGCGUACCUUUUGUAUAAUGGGUCAGCGACUUAUAUUCUGUAGCAAGGUUAACCGAAUAGGGGAGCCGAAGGAAAACCGAGUCUUAACUGGGCGUUAAGUUGCAGGGUAUAGACCCGAAACCCGGUGAUCUAGCCAUGGGCAGGUUGAAGGUUGGGUAACACUAACUGGAGGACCGAACCGACUAAUGUUGAAAAAUUAGCGGAUGACUUGUGGCUGGGGGUGAAAGGCCAAUCAAACCGGGAGAUAGCUGGUUCUCCCCGAAAGCUAUUUAGGUAGCGCCUCGUGAAUUCAUCUCCGGGGGUAGAGCACUGUUUCGGCAAGGGGGUCAUCCCGACUUACCAACCCGAUGCAAACUGCGAAUACCGGAGAAUGUUAUCACGGGAGACACACGGCGGGUGCUAACGUCCGUCGUGAAGAKGGAAACAACCCAGACCGCCAGCUAAGGUCCCAAAGUCAUGGUUAAGUGGGAAACGAUGUGGGAAGGCCCAGACAGCCAGGAUGUUGGCUUAGAAGCAGCCAUCAUUUAAAGAAAGCGUAAUAGCUCACUGGUCGAGUCGGCCUGCGCGGAAGAUGUAACGGGGCUAAACCAUGCACCGAAGCUGCGGCAGCGACGCUGAUGCGUUGUUGGGUAGGGGAGCGUUCUGUAAGCCUGUGAAGGUGUGCUGUGAGGCAUGCUGGAGGUAUCAGAAGUGCGAAUGCUGACAUAAGUAACGAUAAAGCGGGUGAAAAGCCCGCUCGCCGGAAGACCAAGGGUUCCUGUCCAACGUUAAUCGGGGCAGGGUGAGUCGACCCCUAAGGCGAGGCCGAAAGGCGUAGUCGAUGGGAAACAGGUUAAUAUUCCUGUACUUGGUGUUACUGCGAAGGGGGGACGGAGAAGGCUAUGUUGGCCGGGCGACGGUUGUCCCGGUUUAAGCGUGUAGGCUGGUUUUCCAGGCAAAUCCGGAAAAUCAAGGCUGAGGCGUGAUGACGAGGCACUACGGUGCUGAAGCAACAAAUGCCCUGCUUCCAGGAAAAGCCUCUAAGCAUCAGGUAACAUCAAAUCGUACCCCAAACCGACACAGGUGGUCAGGUAGAGAAUACCAAGGCGCUUGAGAGAACUCGGGUGAAGGAACUAGGCAAAAUGGUGCCGUAACUUCGGGAGAAGGCACGCUGAUAUGUAGGUGAAGCGACUUGCUCGUGGAGCUGAAAUCAGUCGAAGAUACCAGCUGGCUGCAACUGUUUAUUAAAAACACAGCACUGUGCAAACACGAAAGUGGACGUAUACGGUGUGACGCCUGCCCGGUGCCGGAAGGUUAAUUGAUGGGGUUAGCGCAAGCGAAGCUCUUGAUCGAAGCCCCGGUAAACGGCGGCCGUAACUAUAACGGUCCUAAGGUAGCGAAAUUCCUUGUCGGGUAAGUUCCGACCUGCACGAAUGGCGUAAUGAUGGCCAGGCUGUCUCCACCCGAGACUCAGUGAAAUUGAACUCGCUGUGAAGAUGCAGUGUACCCGCGGCAAGACGGAAAGACCCCGUGAACCUUUACUAUAGCUUGACACUGAACAUUGAGCCUUGAUGUGUAGGAUAGGUGGGAGGCUUUGAAGUGUGGACGCCAGUCUGCAUGGAGCCGACCUUGAAAUACCACCCUUUAAUGUUUGAUGUUCUAACGUGGACCCGUAAUCCGGGUUGCGGACAGUGUCUGGUGGGUAGUUUGACUGGGGCGGUCUCCUCCUAAAGAGUAACGGAGGAGCACGAAGGUUGGCUAAUCCUGGUCGGACAUCAGGAGGUUAGUGCAAUGGCAUAAGCCAGCUUGACUGCGAGCGUGACGGCGCGAGCAGGUGCGAAAGCAGGUCAUAGUGAUCCGGUGGUUCUGAAUGGAAGGGCCAUCGCUCAACGGAUAAAAGGUACUCCGGGGAUAACAGGCUGAUACCGCCCAAGAGUUCAUAUCGACGGCGGUGUUUGGCACCUCGAUGUCGGCUCAUCACAUCCUGGGGCUGAAGUAGGUCCCAAGGGUAUGGCUGUUCGCCAUUUAAAGUGGUACGCGAGCUGGGUUUAGAACGUCGUGAGACAGUUCGGUCCCUAUCUGCCGUGGGCGCUGGAGAAUUGAGGGGGGCUGCUCCUAGUACGAGAGGACCGGAGUGGACGCAUCACUGGUGUUCGGGUUGUCAUGCCAAUGGCACUGCCCGGUAGCUAAAUGCGGAAGAGAUAAGUGCUGAAAGCAUCUAAGCACGAAACUUGCCCCGAGAUGAGUUCUCCCUGACUCCUUGAGAGUCCUGAAGGAACGUUGAAGACGACGACGUUGAUAGGCCGGGUGUGUAAGCGCAGCGAUGCGUUGAGCUAACCGGUACUAAUGAACCGUGAGGCUUAACCUUACAACGCCGAAGGUGUUU
This 2556-nucleotide ribosomal RNA is filed under the name Escherichia coli. Its description in RNAcentral is "partial 23S ribosomal RNA". The record is from RNAcentral. Lineage: Bacteria; Pseudomonadati; Pseudomonadota; Gammaproteobacteria; Enterobacterales; Enterobacteriaceae.